GGGGGAUAUUGCACAAUGGGGGAAACCCUGAUGCAGCGACGCCGCGUGGAGGAAGAAGGUUUUCGGAUUGUAAACUCCUGUCGUUAGGGACGAUAAUGACGGUACCUAACAAGAAAGCACCGGCUAACUACGUGCCAGCAGCCGCGGUAAAACGUAGGGUGCAAGCGUUGUCCGGAAUUACUGGGUGUAAAGGGAGCGCAGGCGGACCGGCAAGUUGGAAGUGAAAUCCAUGGGCUCAACCCGUGAAUUGCUUUCAAAACUGCUGGCCUUGAGUAGUGCAGAGGUAGGUGGAAUUCCCGGUGUAGCGGUGGAAUGCGUAGAUAUCGGGAGGAACACCAGUGGCGAAGGCGACCUACUGGGCACCAACUGACGCUGAGGCUCGAAAGCAUGGGUAGCAAAC
Molecule: ribosomal RNA, 400 nt
Filed under: uncultured bacterium
Lineage: Bacteria
Description: bacterial SSU rRNA
Rfam family: Bacterial small subunit ribosomal RNA
Source: RNAcentral